UACGUAGGGUGCGAGCGUUGUCCGGAAUUAUUGGGCGUAAAGGGCUCGUAGGCGGUCUGUCGCGUCGGUAGUGAAAACUCAGGGCUUAACCCUGAGCCUGCUUCCGAUACGGGCAGACUAGAGGUAUGCAGGGGAGAAUGGAAUUCCUGGUGUAGCGGUGAAAUGCGCAGAUAUCAGGAGGAACACCGGUGGCGAAGGCGGUUCUCUGGGCAUUACCUGACGCUGAGGAGCGAAAGUGUGGGGAGCGGACAGG
This 253-nucleotide ribosomal RNA is filed under the name uncultured bacterium. RNAcentral describes it as "partial 16S ribosomal RNA". It matches the Rfam family "Bacterial small subunit ribosomal RNA", at positions 524 to 776 of the family's 1533-position model. The record is from RNAcentral.